GCAGGGAAGAGGAAGAAAGAGAGGACCCAAGAGCACUGGGAAUGGGAACAUGGAGGAAAGCAUGAGCUCUGUACCCUAUCUUCUAGCACCAAAGGAGAUUUGGUAUUGUGUUUUCCCAGUGCCUCCCAUUCCUAUUGUUCUUGGAUGCUCCUUCCCCUUCCCCUUGGCU
Setaria italica (foxtail millet) is the source of this 169-nucleotide microRNA precursor. It matches the Rfam family "MIR2118 microRNA precursor family". The record is from Rfam. Lineage: Eukaryota; Viridiplantae; Streptophyta; Magnoliopsida; Poales; Poaceae.